Molecule: ribosomal RNA, 444 nt
Filed under: uncultured bacterium
Lineage: Bacteria
Description: partial 16S ribosomal RNA
Rfam family: Bacterial small subunit ribosomal RNA
Source: RNAcentral
GUGAGGAAUAUUGGACAAUGGGCGCAAGCCUGAUCCAGCCAUGCCGCGUGCAGGAAGACGCAUCUAUGGUGUGUAAACUGCUUUUGUACGGGAAGAAACACUCCCUCGUGAGGGAGCUUGACGGUACCGUAAGAAUAAGGAUCGGCUAACUCCGUGCCAGCAGCCGCGGUAAUACGGAGGAUCCAAGCGUUAUCCGGAAUCAUUGGGUUUAAAGGGUCCGUAGGCGGUUUAAUAAGUCAGUGGUGAAAGCCCAUCGCUCAACGAUGGAACGGCCAUUGAUACUGUUAGACUUGAAUUACAAGGAAGUAACUAGAAUAUGUAGUGUAGCGGUGAAAUGCUUAGAUAUUACAUGGAAUACCAAUUGCGAAGGCAGGUUACUACUUGUGGAUUGACGCUGAUGGACGAAAGCGUGGGGAGCGAACAGGAUUAGAUACCUAGUAGUCC